UUACAUGUAUUGCCAGUGGUUUGAGGCCGUGGGACCAUGUUAAUUCUCUCAGUUUUAAUAUGGAAAUCUCACAAGUACCCGAUUGCAGGUGUAUAAUACGCAUUUCUAACUCCUGUACCACAAAUUAGCUGUAGUAUAGUUUUUUAUACCUUUUUCAUGAUUUCCUUCAGGAACUGUAAUAAGACGCCGUCUGGUUUGCUAAACCCCACCUUUUUUUGCGUCACGGUGAGCAAAGACCCCUGAGAAGCGGUACCAGCCGCCUGGUGGGACGGUCGUGUGUGCCACAGCUGGCUCAGGCUGGUGGGAGCGAGUGCGUUCAGUUCAGUUCAGAGCUGCGCUGCAGCCAGGCGUGAAUUACGGCCCCGUCAGGAACGUGUAAAAGGAAGCAUUUUAUGGCUUCUGUUUGGCAUGUCUGAAUUUCAGGAAUUACUGUUCUUAGGCUUUGGGGCCAUUACAUGAAAUAAAGUUACUUAACACAAGCAGUCAGUGGGAUGCCCCAGGUGCCUGCGAGGUGACUGGCCAGUGAGCUGUGAGUCGUGUGAGUCUGUUAGACAGAGGGAUGGCCCUGGAGAAUGGCACCCAGUUGCCGUGUAUUAGUUGUUUGUUCCUGGGAUUUUCCAUCUAACAUGUUCGGGCCAUGGCUGACCAUGGAUAGCUACAACGCAGAAAAGGGAGCCCCAGAUGGGGAGGUGGCUGGUGUCUAGCACGUAGACUGAGGUGUGGAAUAGCUUACGUGCCGUCCUCAGAGAUGCACACCCUCCAUCUUUGCAACAAGUGGCAAAUCCCUGCAAAAUUUUGAAUACCAUCUUGAUACCUGCGUAUUAAGAGAUACUAAAUCUGUUAUUUCAGUCCUACUUGUUACUAGCACAGAGCCCCGGGAACUCAGAGUUAGUGAGACAAUGUGAACUUUGACCUCAGCAAGAACGAGUCUGAGCCGUGGAGCCCGUGUCCGCCAUGGGUGGGCCCAUGACCGACCAGAUGAGUGUACUCAUUCAUCUCCGGGGAGCUUGCCUUGGGCUGGCGUGAGAAACGUGCAGGGCGUUCCGUCCCUGACUCAGUACGGCAGGAGCCUUUCUACUCAACAUUCCUCAGGGUCCCUGCAGUGUUCCCCAGACUAACUGGCCUAAGUUCUUAGUACACUAAACCAGAGUGUUGAUGAAAUGUUUUAAAUGAUCCAGUUUCUGGUAUUCCUUCUGUUAUUUAGGAGGGGAAUGGUUAACUUGUGCAGGAAAGCCACGUUUACAGAUUCCCAUUUACCCUAGGGUUUGGAGGCGCUCUUUAGGAGGGCAGGAUCCUUGGUUUCAGCAUUCCUGAGUCUUCCGGACUCCAGGGGCCUGCCGGGAUUUCUCCACGAUGGGGGACACGUUGCUCUUUGGUCCUAGCUGCUGCCUGGGUCAGUCAGUCAUCCUAGUAACAGGAGUUAGGUUGUCCCUCAGAUAGGUUUGAUGUAGAAAUCGGUCGGCAUUUAACUUCCCUGGUUGUAUGGCCCACAAGUGCCCACGAGUGUGUACAUCCUAUCUGUCCCUAUUGCCUUCAGGGUGCCCUGAAUGGUUUAUUUGGAUUCUCUCACCUGUCAAUCUUUGAAUUCAGGGCACCUUUGUUAGAGAAACCCAAAUCAGUUUUGUACAGCCUAUCAUGGCUAUUCUGUCUUGUCUAUUUUUAUCUAUUCUCUAGUUUUUGUUUUUGUUUUUGGUACCGGGGAUUGAACUCAGGUCCUUGCGCUUGCAUAGCAGGUGACAAAACCACUGAGCUAAACCCUCAGCCCAAACAAUUCUCUGGGAGAGACAUUGCUCUGGAGUCUUUUUUUUUUUUUUGGUACGGGGAUCUAACUCGGGUCCUUGCACUUGCAGGGCAGGCGGCGGAACCACUGAGCUAAAUCCAUGGGCCUAGUUUUUGUUUUUUGUUUUUUUUUUUUCAGUACUGGGGAUCGAACUCGGGUCCUUGUGCUUGCAAGGCAGGCGGUUAAACCACUGAGCUAAAUCCCCGGCUCCAGUUUUAAUUUUUUUAAAUUUGUGUACAUCCUCAGUUCAGUCACUUAAGUUAAAUCUUACUCUAGUUUCUGCCUUAUACUGGAAGAAAAAAUUGCUGUUCACUGAUAGAAAACAAAAAAGAAAAUUUUCUUAAAUAACAGCCUCAGAAUUUCCUAUCACCAGCUUUAAUUUGUGAGCAUCACUCUUUCAAUGUCUGAUGAGAAUUUACUUUUAGGGUUUAAGCAACACCCUUCUACCCUUCUUACCUGUUUUGGUUUCCUUUGUUUUUAGAGACAGGGUCUGUCUCACUGUAGUUCAGGCUGGCCUUGAAGAACUCACUGUGUAACCCAGGCUGGCCUUGAACGCACAGCGAUCCUCCUGCCUCAGCCUCCUGAAUUCUGGGAUCACAGGCGUGCACUACCACACCUGGUGCUCUUUCUGUUUUGGGAGACCAUCUUCCCCUGAUAUGCUGAAGGCGAAGAGCUUAAAGCACACAAGAGCAUACAUAAUAGGGCUUUCCCAAACAGUUCUCCUGAGAAUUAUUACCGCUGCAAAAUUAUAGGGUUUCCGGGGUUAGUGGGUCAGAACUACAUAGUGUGUGUCCCUCUUGAAGAGCACAGCUCACUAGUAAAGUCUCCCCAGCUUCUUGAAGGCUCAGUCAUGCAGUCCUGUACCCCUGCCACACUCAUUCUUAGAGCUUCCUUUCACCUGGAAAAUAAGUGGCUGGACCAGCUGUUUUCCAGCUCCUCUGUAGCUCUUUGAAGUCUUUGUUGUUUGUUUGUGUUUUGAGACGGGGUCUUGCUUUGUAGCUCAGGCCAGCCUUGAAUUCACUGUGCAGCCAGACUGGCCUGGAACUCGAGAUGAUCCUCCUGCCUCAGCCUCCGGAGUGCUGGGAUUAUAGGUUUACUUUUGGACAUCAAGCCCGUCAUUGCCGGCAAGUGAAGAAGGCUUCCAGCCCAUGCCAUCAAUCACAAUAAGACCUCCAGAUGACCAACAUCUUCCUACUGCAAACACUUGCAUUUCUCGACUUUACGUCCCACUCUAUUCCUCUAAACAGAUUCUCAAACAGAAAUUGCUACUUGCCAUUAAGACCAAGAAUUUUGGUUUUGUGUAGAGUAUAAAGUGUGUAAUGCUGUGUAAUAUUACUAGCUAAUUUUGUAGAUUUUUUUCCCAUUUGUCUAUAAAAAUUUACAGAAGUUAAAUGCUGUCAUACCCCCUGGUGAUACCUUAAAGAGAUUAAAUGCAAACAUUCCUUGCUGAGUUCAUAGCUUACAGGCCUGAGGAGCACUAGCAACAUUUGGUUAAAACUGUUUGCUAGGCACCAACUUCUGGGUCUAACCCCAGCCAAAGAGGACAGCAGAACAACAUGAUUUACACUGUGAUUUAUCUUUUUGCUGAGGGGAAAAAAUGUAAAAUGUUCUGAAAAUUCACUGCUGCCUUUGUGGAAAGUGUUUCAGCAGAGGUUCUUGUAUAGAGGGUUAGGGAAUUUCAAAAUAAAAAAUUACGUAUGUUCUGUGUUUUCAUUUUAACUUCUUUAUGUGUUUAAUUUGUGGUUGGCUGCAGUUGUAUAUCAUGUAUAUGGGACUUGUCAAAAGUUCUUGGCACUCAGAUCUCAGAGCUGAGGUCACUUUUACCUACACAGACCACUUCUGUUGCGUUUAUUUCAGCUGCAUCGAGCUCUAGGAUACUAAGUGAUGUCACCCGUGUUCUGCGUGUAACGUGUUCACUUGGGCGAGGGUGCUCCUUUGUGCAUACGACGGGGCCGGUACAGUGCUUUCCCCACCUCCUCCUCGCUGUGUCCCUGGGUCAGUGCAGUCAGCAGGUGGCUGCCGUUCUCAGCCCCAACAGACAUUUGUACCGAGGGAGCCUUCAGUUAUGUAAACAGCCUGGGCACUUUCUGAUAACUGUAAAAUGUUUUAUAAGAUCAUAAUUAUUGAAAAUACAUUUUGGAAAAAUUUAAAUGUUCAUGAGCAGCUUAACUACUUUUGUAUCUAACCUUUUUUAAGUAUCUUGUUACAUUUACUUUUUUAAAUAAAUUACAGAAGAAAUGUCAAGUAACAUUGAAGAAACAAUAGUUUUUAUUUAUAUAGUACAUUUUUAAACUAAGGGCAAUACACCGACAUGUUACGUGGAUAAAAAUUUUGACGUAAAGAACUGAAAGUUUACAUGCACCUGGACUGUAAGAAACAGAAGAAACUCAGCCCACAUUUUACAGUUAGCAGAGAACCCUAAAUGGCACCUGGCCAGGCCACCUUUUCUUUUAAAAAUGGGGGAAGUGAAGCAUGACCAUUACUUGGCGUGGAAAGUCCAACUUGUAACUAAACUACCAUUACAUAGCCUGCACCCAAUAUCCCUGAACUCUUACGGCUUUCGUAGCUUUGCUCAGUGGCGUAAUAAGGAACACUUUUCUUCACUGAGACUUAAACUAGUCACUUUACAUGUUAAAAACGAAGAGAAAGAUUCUCUAGACUCUCUUGCUUUUUCAGUCCCUAUGUAGGACUUCUGGCCUCGGAAUUGUUCCCAUGUUCAAGGGCACUAUGCUUUUAUUACAUAACUUCCUUUAGGAGACCGAGACCAAUCCACAUGACAUUCUCCGCCCUGUUGACACUAAACAUACUUAAAACAGAAUGAUAGCAGUAAAACUCAUUGUAUUACUUAAAACUUAUACAACAACAUGCUGUAUUAGAUAUGUGUAAAUUAGUCAAAGUGAGACAUUGGUUUUUAUGUCUAAAUGCUAUUUCUGAAUAAAUGAAAUAGUAAUUAGAUUAAGAGCUGAUUAACAUCCAUGUGUUUGAAAGACAAAAUUUAUAUCACCUUAACCUCUGUAUGCACAUGAUGGGAUUGAUAAGUAUUACACGAGAAACAACUGUUUAGGACAUUUGAAACCCUAAUUGUGAAUUUAUUUUUAAUAGUUAUUGAAAGAAUGAAAUAUUUAAUGCAAAUGUCUUAAGUCUUCCUAAAUCAAGAUUUGGGUUAAAAUGCUUUUAGUAAUAUUAAAAGCAGAGUUUUUUUUAAAAGUAAAGCAUAAAACGGUUCUAAAUGUAAAAUAAAGUCAUGUAAAAUAAA
Long non-coding RNA from Heterocephalus glaber (naked mole-rat), 5036 nucleotides. The record is from Ensembl. Lineage: Eukaryota; Metazoa; Chordata; Mammalia; Rodentia; Bathyergidae.